This 509-nucleotide ribosomal RNA is filed under the name uncultured bacterium. Its description in RNAcentral is "bacterial SSU rRNA". It matches the Rfam family "Bacterial small subunit ribosomal RNA", at positions 28 to 517 of the family's 1533-position model. The record is from RNAcentral.
GACGAACGCUGGCGGCGUGGAUUAGGCAUGCAAGUCGGACGGUAGGGCUUUAUCGUAAGAUAGAGUUUGAGAGUGGCGAACGGGUGAGUAACACGUAGGAAUCUACCCUUAAGACGGGGACAACCCAGGGAAACUUGGGCUAAUACCGGAUGAGAGUGCGAGAGAUUGCAUUUAAAAGGAUGGCGAAAGUUGUCGCUUAGGGAUGAGCCUGCGGUCUAUUAGUUAGUUGGUGAGGUUAAGAGCUCACCAAGGCGAUGAUAGAUAGGCGGCCUUAACGGGUGGUCGCCCACACUGGGAUUGAGAUACGGCCCAGACUCCUACGGGAGGCAGCAGUCGAGAAUAGUCUACAAUGGCCGGAAGGCUGAUAGUGCGACGCCGCGUGAACGAGGGAGCCCUUCGGGGUGUAAAGUUCUUUUCUAUUACGAGCAGUUGCUAUAUAUAUGGAUAGUAUAUAUAGAGGGAUAGUAGUAUAGGAAUAAGGCAACGGCUAACUCCGUGCCAGCAGACCG